AAUAUUGGACAAUGGGCGCAAGCCUGAUCCAGCAAUGCCGCGUGGGUGAAGAAGGCCUUCGGGUUGUAAAGCCCUUUUGUACGGGAAGAAAUCUCGUGGGUUAAUACCUUGCGAGGAUGACGGUACCGUAAGAAUAAGCACCGGCUAACUUCGUGCCAGCAGCCGCGGUAAUACGAAGGGUGCAAGCGUUAAUCGGAAUUACUGGGCGUAAAGCGUGCGUAGGCGGUUUGUUAAGUCCGAUGUGAAAGCCCUGGGCUCAACCUGGGAAUGGCACUGGAUACUGGCAGGCUAGAAUGUGGUAGAGGGGUGCGGAAUUUCCGGUGCAGCGGUGAAAUGCGUAGAGAUCGGAAGGAACAUCCGUGGCGAAGGCGGCACCCUGGACCAACAUUGACGCUGAGGCACGAAAGCGUGGGGAGCAAACAGG
Molecule: ribosomal RNA, 424 nt
Filed under: uncultured bacterium
Lineage: Bacteria
Description: bacterial SSU rRNA
Rfam family: Bacterial small subunit ribosomal RNA
Source: RNAcentral